UGGGUUAGUUUUUGUCCAACCUCCACUCAUCGAGGACUAAGCUAAAGCUAGAGCAUCUUUAGAUCAUUGGCUUUUAGGGAUGUCCUUUUAGAGAUCCUCUGUUAUGACUAGGGUUUUCAUGAGAGAUCGAUCUUAGCCAACCUCAGUCGAUUUCUUCUUUAGUCACUUUUAUAAAGGACCUAUAUAUAUAGGGACCAAGGAAAACAACAAGUUAUUGAUC
RNAcentral lists this long non-coding RNA (220 nucleotides) under Elaeis guineensis (African oil palm). RNAcentral describes it as "long non-coding RNA (EGUI_LNC014321)". The record is from RNAcentral. Lineage: Eukaryota; Viridiplantae; Streptophyta; Magnoliopsida; Arecales; Arecaceae.